GAUGAACGCUGGCGGCGUGCCUAAUACAUGCAAGUCGAGCGAACGGACGAGAAGCUUGCUUCUCUGAUGUUAGCGGCGGACGGGUGAGUAACACGUGGAUAACCUACCUAUAAGACUGGGAUAACUUCGGGAAACCGGAGCUAAUACCGGAUGAUAUUUUGAACCGCAUGGUUCAAAAGUGAAAGACGGUCUUGCUGUCACUUAUAGAUGGAUCCGCACUGCAUUAGCUAGUUGGUAAGGUAACGGCUUACCAAGGCAACGAUGCAUAGCCGACCUGAGAGGGUGAUCGGCCACACUGGAACUGAGACAUGGUCCAGACUCCUACGGGAGGCAGCAGUAGGGAAUCUUCCGCAAUGGGCGAAAGCCUGACGGAGCAACGCCGCGUGAGUGAUGAAGGUCUUCGGAUCGUAAAACUCUGUUAUUAGGGAAGAACAUAUGUGUAAGUAACUGUGCACAUCUUGACGGUACCUAAUCAGAAAGCCACGGCUAACUACG
Molecule: ribosomal RNA, 495 nt
Filed under: uncultured bacterium
Lineage: Bacteria
Description: partial 16S ribosomal RNA
Rfam family: Bacterial small subunit ribosomal RNA
Source: RNAcentral